AAAGGCAAUAUCAACACUACCCUCUCCUCCCACGUGCUCUAUGAACUAGAGACUUCCUCUGCGAAGCUCCUCUCUUGCUCGCCUUCGGGUCUCCUAGCGGCUGACCCUCUGCCUCCUCUCUCAAUAACUUUUCAGGUGCUCUCCCUCCUCAUUCAUUCGCUCAGAGUAAUGUGGUCUACUGGCAUAUCAAGGAGCACGUUGAGAAACAGGAAAACCGAAGACGACUCAGGAUUAGGGCACUGAAAUCAGGGUAUGGAAUUGUUCAUUUUCAGUCUCUUUGCUUAGAAGGUAGCUAGUCUUGAACACAUGGGGACAGAGACUUGCACAUACAAUUCGUGUUUGCUUUCGCUCAAGAUUCAAGUUGGCUGAACAAUCUCAAACGAAUGAUAGCGUGUACAAGCCAUUACUGUAACUUAUGCCAAAGACAUGGUUCAAUAUUUGGAGGCCAGGAUCUGAUUUUUGUAAGACUGUGUUUGCUUGCUUAUGUUAUGGCUGGUUCAAUAAUCAUGUUUUUAUUGCUGCUGAUUUUUUAGCCAAGGAUGCAGUAUGUAUUUCUUUCAAUCUUCAGUGCACCCCAUCUAUUUAUUUUGGCACUUUUAUUUCAGCGGGUCUCAGAUCCAAGGAGACUAAUAUUAGUAAUGCAGCUAAUGUUUUAUUGAAGUGAAUGUGGCGAUUAUUUAUUGGGGCAUUUCACUCAAUGGUAACUUUUCUUAGUGGAUCACGCUCUGGUUUGGAUCUUAUAAUGGAGCUUUAGGGUUCACUUUUGGGCUCUCUGAAGUAUUUUUCUUUAGUUUUAAAGUGAAUGUGGGGAUUAUUUACAGUGGAUCAGGCACUGCUAUGGACCUUGAGAUCCAUAUUUUGAUUUUUUUCUUUCUUUUUUUUUCCGUUUUAGUUUCUGGUUUUUGCUUAAGUAUUGUGUUCAAUUUUUUUAAUGGAGUUAUUUUAUUGAUAAUUGAUCAUAGCGAUUGGAUCAUACACUAGAAUAGGUGUUAAGAGUGAAAUUAACAAUUUUUGCAAGCUGAUAUAGUGUGCGUUAUGUUCAUUUUAAGCUUUUUACAACAUGUUUUUUGUAUUUUGUUUUUGUACUAUAACUUGAAGAUCUUUUCCAGUUUGGGUUUUGAGUGGACAUGUUAUAGUUCUUCUCCAGAUUUCUUGCAUGAUUGUUCUGUUGCUUGUAAAUAUAGAAAUGGGUUUCAGUGGAAAUUUAUGUGUUGAAUUACUAUCAUUAUUAUUAUUUGCAUGGGUACAAAUUAUUAUUUCCACUAUUUGUUGAGGACGACAAUCUUAACAGCUCUUGUGCUGAUUUUAUUUUUUCUGAAAAAAAUUAGGUAUUCUUUACUUUCUAACUCUUGAUGAAUUUUAAUGAGUUGGGAAAUGGAUGUAGAAGAUUUGGAUUUGUGGCAUGUAUUAUAGCAAAUGUUGAAGUGAAUUCAUGUUGUUUUAAAAUGGUACAUUUGAAAACUGCAAUUGAGAGCCUCUAUUUUGGUUUUACAAUGGUCCAUACUCUAGUUUCAGUCGAUACAAGGCAUGCCUUUCUAAUUAGCUGCAUGCUUUCUGUUUUGCAAGAGACUAACUAAGCCUGUCAGGGACAUGACUGUAAACCACUAUUUAAAUUGCCAUCUCACCUGGAAUUAUGUUCUUAUAGUCGUCAUGUUAUUGGUAGUUGUUUGAUGUAAGUUUUCUUUUACCUUUUGUGCAUUGUUGUAACUUGGCAAUUGUGGUAUGUGGACUUUAUCAUAUCUGCGUUCAAGUUGAUGUAAGUUUUCUUUUACCUACUGGGACAUUAGGUUUAUUGGACAUGAUCCAUAUGUUGUUUGAUGAUAUUUCAGCAUGCGAUUGUUGAGCAAGAGAGCUUGAUCACGAUGUUGAAUUGCAAGAGAGCAAGGAAUUUUUUUUGGAGCCAAUAAGGACCUCGAAUCGAGUUGAGGCCAUGACAGAUGAAGGGGUUGCAAUUGCAUGGAGGAUAUGACAAAUAGCCAGAUUGCUUUCACAUGGAGAAUAUGACAACUUGCAAGGCUUCAUUUGCACAUAUACACAAAGGAUUUUUUGUAUUGAUUAAUUUUUGAAAUUUUGGAGAUAUGUAAAUACCUUUUUUGUAAUUCACUUUCGAAUUUGUGUGAAUAUUGAAUAGUCAUAUAAUUUAAGGGCUAUGUAAAUGACCUAUUUGUGGGCCAUGUAAAUGACCUAUUUAUGGGGUAUGUAAAGGACCUAAUUAUGGGGGCAUUUAAAGGGCCUAUUUUGGGGUCAUGUAAAGGACCUAUUUUUGGGGUCAUGUAAAGGUCCGAUUUAUGGAUAGUGGAAUCCAUUUAUAAUGAAAUGUGGGUUUACUUGAA
Non-coding RNA from Amborella trichopoda, 2333 nucleotides. NCBI's taxonomy places the organism in Eukaryota, Viridiplantae, Streptophyta, Magnoliopsida, Amborellales, Amborellaceae. The record is from RefSeq and is a predicted model, not a curated record.